Molecule: long non-coding RNA, 1128 nt
Filed under: Struthio camelus australis
Lineage: Eukaryota; Metazoa; Chordata; Aves; Struthioniformes; Struthionidae
Description: lncRNA (ENSSCUG00000012233.1)
Source: RNAcentral
CUUUUACAUUCACAAAUUGUCUAGGUAUCUUGUGGAAGAUGAUGUCUGUGUGAUAUAAAAUGAAUUUCAUACAUACACACAAAAAAGCUAUCAGUGUAUUUAUGAGUCCUUCUGUUCCUCCUCUCCCCUUAAUUUAUGGCUUUGUGCAUUUUCCUUUAGACGCAGUUUGAUUUCCCUGCACAGACAGUCUCAUCAGUUGUCUGCAGGGGUCUCCGAGGGCACGAGACACAAGCCAGAUCAGCCUGUCCCGAGGUCUGUUCUGCCACCGCAUGACUAAGCUUGCUGAUUUAAAGUCAAUGCCAAAGUCUCUACUGCAAACACUCUCUGCAGCACUGAUACGUGAAGGCAGAUGUAUGGGAGGGUGGCCCCACGGCAGCGCCACGCAAUCCGCCAUGCGACACAGUUACAGCUGCGCAACUCCCAACAAAGCACUUCCCACCGAGCCUGGCAUCUGCCCCGACAUAGCUCCAGAGCCUGCGUCUUGCAAAGCCAAAGGCAAUGCUCUUUCACAACAACAAGUGAAUGAUCAAACCCUGACACGGCAAGAGAGGGGAGAGAAAAAAUUAUUUAAAAGAAACAGGAAAACUAGCAGGGGGCUCAUUAGCAGGUCACAUCCAGAAUGGUCUGAGGACAAAAACUGCAUUCCAAAAAGGUUUUCACAACUUCUAGAAGCCAUUCCUUUCAUAUCAGGAAGAUCCCGGCACAUCUGCAGUUCUGCACCCUGUCCAUGCAGAGAACAGCCCAAACCUGAAGCAGCACAUGCUCUUCCUCCGAGGCUACACUGGGUCCUGAGCUGAGUGAACAAAUGAAGUCCUCUGUGAGACUUACACACGUAGGACCCCUCAACACUUCAAUGCUGAAUUCAGGACCAAUGGCAAUAUGAGUAAUUUCCCAAAGCAUAGAGCUCUGGAGUCACAAUCCCUGUUAGGGGUCAUAAAUCUGGAAAUGAGCAUAGCUGAAAAAAAAAAACCCCAAAACCCUAUUCUCUUCUGAUCUAUGCGUAAGAACCCUCUUCUAGGAAAAAGAUGACUUUGGAUUCAACUCUCUCCCCAGCCCUGAGGCGAAUGAAAGCCACAUUUGCCAGGAGAGCAUGCUAACUGGCAGGCUCCAGGCCAGCCUAGGAGGAAG